Molecule: ribosomal RNA, 497 nt
Filed under: uncultured bacterium
Lineage: Bacteria
Description: partial 16S ribosomal RNA
Rfam family: Bacterial small subunit ribosomal RNA
Source: RNAcentral
GAUGAACGCUGGCGGCGUGCCUAAUACAUGCAAGUCGAGCGAACGGACGAGAAGCUUGCUUCUCUGAUGUUAGCGGCGGACGGGUGAGUAACACGUGGAUAACCUACCUAUAAGACUGGGAUAACUUCGGGAAACCGGCGCUAAUACCGGAUAAUAUUUUGCACCGCAUGGUUCAAAAGUGAAAGACGGUCUUGCUGUCACUUAUAGAUGGAUCCGGGCUGCAUUAGCUAGUUGGUAAGGUAACGGCUUACCAAGGCAACGAUGCAUAGCCGACCUGAGAGGGGGAUCGGCCACACGGGAACUGAGACACGGUCCAGACUCCUACGGGAGGCAGCAGUAGGGAAUCUUCCGCAAUGGGCGAAAGCCUGACGGAGCAACGCCGCGUGAGUGAUGAAGGUCUUCGGAUCGUAAAACUCUGUUAUUAGGGAAGAACAUAUGUGUAAGUAACUGUGCACAUCGUGACGGUACCUAAUCAGAAAGCCACGGCUAACUACGUG